This 468-nucleotide ribosomal RNA is filed under the name uncultured bacterium. RNAcentral describes it as "partial 16S ribosomal RNA". It matches the Rfam family "Bacterial small subunit ribosomal RNA", at positions 28 to 507 of the family's 1533-position model. The record is from RNAcentral.
GAUGAACGCUGGCGGCGUGCUUAACACAUGCAAGUCGAACGGAAAGGCCCAAGCUUGCUUGGGUACUCGAGUGGCGAACGGGUGAGUAACACGUGGGUGAUCUGCCCUGCACUUCGGGAUAAGCCUGGGAAACUGGGUCUAAUACCGGAUAGGACGAUGGUUUGGAUGCCAUUGUGGAAAGUUUUUUCGGUGUGGGAUGAGCUCGCGGCCUAUCAGCUUGUUGGUGGGGUAAUGGCCUACCAAGGCGUCGACGGGUAGCCGGCCUGAGAGGGUGUACGGCCACAUGGGGACUGAGAUACGGCCCAGACUCCGACGGGGGGCAGCAGUGGGGAAUAUUGCACAAUGGGCGCAAGCCUGAUGCAGCGACGCCGCGUGGGGGAUGACGGCCUUCGGGUUGUAAACUCCUUUCGCUAGGGACGAAGCGUUUUUGUGACGGUACCUGGAGAAGAAGCACCGGCUAACUACGUG